GGAUUGUGGCUCAGAGGUAGAUUGCUCGCCUAGUAUGUGUGAGGCACUGGGUUCGAUCCUCAGCACCA
RNAcentral lists this transfer RNA (68 nucleotides) under Marmota monax (woodchuck). RNAcentral's name for it is "tRNA.Thr". The record is from RNAcentral. Lineage: Eukaryota; Metazoa; Chordata; Mammalia; Rodentia; Sciuridae.